AGAGUUUGAUCCUGGCUCAGGACGAACGCUGGCGGCGUGCUUAACACAUGCAAGUCGAACGGAAAGGCCCUUUCGGGGGUACUCGAGUGGCGAACGGGUGAGUAACACGUGGGUGAUCUGCCCUGCACUUUGGGAUAAGCCUGGGAAACUGGGUCUAAUACCGAAUAGGACCAUGGGAUGCAUGUUCUGUGGUGGAAAGCUUUUGCGGUGUGGGAUGGGCCCGCGGCCUAUCAGCUUGUUGGUGGGGUGAUGGCCUACCAAGGCGACGACGGGUAGCCGGCCUGAGAGGGUGUCCGGCCACACUGGGACUGAGAUACGGCCCAGACUCCUACGGGAGGCAGCAGUGGGGAAUAUUGCACAAUGGGCGCAAGCCUGAUGCAGCGACGCCGCGUGGGGGAUGACGGCCUUCGGGUUGUAAACCUCUUUCAGUAUCGGCGAAGCUUGCGGGUUUUCUCGCAGGUGACGGUAGGUACAGAAGAAGCACCGGCCAACUACGUGCCAGCAGCCGCGGUAAUACGUAGGGUGCGAGCGUUGUCCGGAAUUACUGGGCGUAAAGAGCUCGUAGGUGGUUUGUCGCGUUGUCCGUGAAAACUCACAGCUUAACUGUGGGCGUGCGGGCGAUACGGGCAGACUGGAGUACUGUAGGGGAGACUGGAAUUCCUGGUGUAGCGGUGGAAUGCGCAGAUAUCAGGAGGAACACCGGUGGCGAAGGCGGGUCUCUGGGCAGUAACUGACGCUGAGGAGCGAAAGCGUGGGGAGCGAACAGGAUUAGAUACCCUGGUAGUCCACGCCGUAAACGGUGGGUACUAGGUGUGGGUUUCCUUCCUUUAGGGAUCCGUGCCGUAGCUAACGCAUUAAGUACCCCGCCUGGGGAGUACGGCCGCAAGGCUAAAACUCAAAUGAAUUGACGG
RNAcentral lists this ribosomal RNA (911 nucleotides) under uncultured bacterium. Its description in RNAcentral is "bacterial SSU rRNA". It matches the Rfam family "Bacterial small subunit ribosomal RNA", at positions 8 to 916 of the family's 1533-position model. The record is from RNAcentral.